CCUCGGUAGGGUGAACCUGCGGAGGGAUCAUUAACGAAUGGCCUUUGGCCUUCGACCUUGUAAACCCGUGGAAGGAAGAUUGCUUCGGCGCCUUUGGCGCCCGGUCUAUGCCGUAAAGCAUUGGUCUGAAUCAAACAUAAGUUUAAAACUUUCAACAAAGGAUCUCUUGGCUCUCGCAUCGAUGAAGAACGCAGCGAAGCGCGAAAUGUAGUGUGAAUCGCAGAAAAUUGUGAAUCAUCGAAUCUUUGAACGCACAUUGCGCCUCCUUUCCGGGAGGCAUGCCUGUCUGAGCGUCGUUUAAACCAUAGCCCCCAAAAGGGUCUGUCUUGGGCAUCGCCUUUGGGCGUAGCCUCGAAGCGAUUGGUCUGAAGAGCGGAUGAAAUCCAUUAGGACGGACCGUUCUGCGACCUUAAACUUUGAAUUUGACCUCAGAUCAGGUAGGACUACCGCCUGAACUUAAGCAUAUCAAU
RNAcentral lists this ribosomal RNA (470 nucleotides) under ectomycorrhizal root tip 93-sepA_Ny1.EB-23.5. RNAcentral describes it as "eukaryotic LSU rRNA". The stretch from base 147 to 296 matches the Rfam family "5.8S ribosomal RNA". Lineage: Eukaryota; Fungi. The record is from RNAcentral.